UUAGGUGGUUAUAACGUUGGGGUUCCACCUCUUCCCAUUCCGAACAGAGAAGUUAAGCCCAAUUGUGCCGAUGGUACUGCGAAAGUGGGAGAGUAGGUAGCCGCCAUUU
RNAcentral lists this ribosomal RNA (109 nucleotides) under Porphyromonas sp. oral taxon 275. Lineage: Bacteria; Pseudomonadati; Bacteroidota; Bacteroidia; Bacteroidales; Porphyromonadaceae. The record is from RNAcentral.